GUCCCCUCGGGGACAUCCGAUAAAAUUGGAACGAUACAGAGAAGAUUAGCAUGGCCCCUGUUAAGGUUCAAAACUUACAUCAUGAGGACCAAUGAAUCACC
RNAcentral lists this small nuclear RNA (101 nucleotides) under Helianthus annuus (common sunflower). Lineage: Eukaryota; Viridiplantae; Streptophyta; Magnoliopsida; Asterales; Asteraceae. The record is from RNAcentral.